Long non-coding RNA from Mesocricetus auratus (golden hamster), 2888 nucleotides. RefSeq lists it as uncharacterized. Lineage: Eukaryota; Metazoa; Chordata; Mammalia; Rodentia; Cricetidae. The record is from RefSeq and is a predicted model, not a curated record. The transcript is spliced from 3 exons.
UGUGUGUGUGCAUGUGUGUGUGUAUGUGUGUGUGUGUGUGUGUGCAUGUGUGUGUGUGUGCGCGAGCGCGUGUCCUAAGCAGUUUUGGUCCUGACCACCCAGUGCAAUCACAUUAUCUCCUCUCUCACCAAGCCCACCUGUUUCUCAGCUGUUGCCCACGUGGAGGCGGCCUUGGCACUAGAUGCCAGCAAUCGCGGGAGAUAAGGAGCACCCAGUUAGACGACGCUUACAGCUAAAGCCUGUGCGUGGUGCCCCAGCCCGGCACCCGAUGCCUUGAUAGGACCGCAGUGGCGAGGGACAGUGUUCUUCACUUAACGGGAAGGACGCGGGGGCGGGGGGGGGGGGCGGGACCUAUCGGGUGCAGUGACCUUUCACGGCAGGCAGGCUGUGUGCCGACAUUGAGACAAUUAUCUCGGGAGCCCGUGGGCACCAACUUCCUGUUGAUAGCAUGCGGAGCUAAUUACCUUGAAGAAUUGACGGCAGAGGUUGGUGCCUGUAAUUAAUUGGCCCUCAGGAAGGCCUCGCUUGGCUCAGGACCAGGAGCAUCGGUGUCCAGCAGCGCCAAGCCCCCGCGGUUCCCCCUCUUAUGUCCUCCCUUCGCCACCGUGGAAGCUGCCCUCCGGUGCUUUGUCGCCUUCUCGAAACCUUUCCAGUGAACCCAACACCCGGUUGGCCGACCACCCACCCCCUCUCUCUGUUUAUAGUCUCCAAGGCCUGCAGGGAGGAAUCAGUGACCAGUUAAUAAACACAUUCUGUGUGGAAAAGGUCAGCCUGCGAAGGCCUCGGUAAUAUAUUCCCUCAGAAUGAGGGAGCAUGAGCAUUCUGCUUCCUCGGUCCUCUGGGGGUGGUCCAGAAGUUAGUCGGCCAUGUGGAUGCUUGAUGCCUGUACCUUCAAUGAAAGAGGCCCGGUGGGCUGUCUCUCCAUCCCACUGGACGGCUGGUGUGUAGGCAGAGGUUCUCAUUCUGCCUGGUCCAGCAGCCGAUCAGCCCCAAAUAAACACACGGACUUACACUAAUUAUUAAACUAUUGGCCGAUGGCUAGGGCUUCUUACUGGCUAGCUCUGUCUUGAUUGUUAACCCAUUUCUAUUAAUGUAAGUAUUUCCACAUGGUCUUAGCGGAGAAGGGUCCGGACUUGUUACUCCUUCUUCGGCUACAUGGGGUCUCCUCGCAGUACCUCUCCUCCAGCGUUCUCCUCGUCCCCUAGCCCCGCCUAUCUUCCUGCCUCUACUGGCCAAUCAGUGUUUCAUUCAUCAACCAAUAAGAGACAUACAGAAGGACGUCUCCAUCACCUGUCUUGGGGGGAGGAGGUAAAGUGGGGAAACACUGUGGCUGUGCGGCUGGGAGCUCCGGUCUCUGCUCUGCGCCUUCAUCUCCCACGACGGUGUAUACCAGAGUGUGGGCGUCUGCUGCAGCAUGGACCAGCCUAAGAGGCAUGGGACAGAGGCUACACCUGCCUCCCUGAUCCCUAGACACGGGUCCCAAAAGAAGAGGAGCACCAGUGGGCGGCCCUGCACAGUGUCAGCGAGUGAGUGAAACUAAAACCCAAAUCUUGUGUGGUUGUAAGGGCAGGAAGCGCCCCUGGACCAGACCGCCCUCUCAUGUUUCCUUUCGUAUGCUGUGCAGACUGGAGGGACGGUGCAGAUUUGGGCUCGGGGGCGAGCUGAGGAGGCUUAAGCUAUUGUAGAACCGGGCACAAAUGGGUCCAGUUGUCAAAAGAGGCUUGCUUUUGAACAUGAAGAAACCAUUGGCAUCAAAGGAAUGAAUGGAAGAUAAGGUAAACUCUGUCUGGAAGCCACCGCCUGAAGUUACCUGGAAGGUAAGUUGAUGAACACUCUUUGUAUUAGUGCAUGUGUUGUAGGUAGUCCUCUGCGAUACCAUUGUCCAUUUCCAUUUUGACACACUGUAGGCUCUUUCCGUGUCAGUGGGGAUGGUGCUUCACCACUCUUUGUAAAGGCUACACAGGACUCUAUUGUAUGGUUGUCCCAUGAUUAAUUUAACCUGUCCCUUAUAAUUCACAUUUAUCCACAUUCACUCAGCAGCAUAAUUAUCCAUUUAAUCACCUGUCUCUCCCUCUAGGCUGUGUGCUCGCUGAACACGGGGAUACAUCUGAAGCCCACAGGCGAACAAUGGGCACCCAACAAAUGUUUACAUGGACAGAUGGGUCCCUUCCCUGCUUCAGUCCCUGCCCUCAGUGAUGGAGAGUGACCUGAGGGCAAGCCAAAGCAAACCCUCCCCUUAGGGCUGUGGUGUUUCACCACAGCGACGGAAACCCCGGUGAAGACAGUCGUCCAGUGCUGUGCGUCUCAAACAGAUUCAAAACCCCCAUCUUUGGAAGAAAAGAGCUCGAGUCUCGAUUUUCUCAUCUGUAAAGUGGGGCAAUAGGCACGGCUUCUCAGAAGGUGUGGAUUGAUAAACUCCUGCCUGCGGUGCAGUAGGGAUUACCUGCCCUAGUAUGGCUGUGUUGAGAAAGGGUUAGCUCGGAGCAGAGGGAGCAAGUGGUACCCACUGUGCCCAGAGUGUAAGGGAUGACCCAGUCCCCAGCAGGGGGGCAUUGAGAAGCAGGGCUUUUAUGGAGGAGAAAAGUCGUGAGAGAGGGUGGAGUGAGUCCUCAUGACGGAGGACUAAGGAGAGCACCCACCUCUGCUGCAGAAUACGCCAGGCGCAGGAGUGGCUUCUCACUGGACGCCAGAUCGUUUGUGUCUGGGACUUCCCAGCCUUCAGGGCUAGGAAUAAUAAUAUCCCGCUUUUAAUAAACCAACCCACUGGAAAGUGUUUUGUUACAGCAGCCCAGAUAGGGCAAGGUAAUUCUCCACAGAGCGUUGGUCCCACCGAUUGUGGAAGAGAAGCCUGGAGACCGCCUAGGGGCUGCGGCGUGAGGAUAAAGGAA